GGUCCCAAGGGUAUGGCUGUUCGCCAUUUAAAGUGGUACGUGAGCUGGGUUUAAAACGUCGUGAGACAGUUUGGUCCCUAUCUGCCGUGGGCGUUGGAAAUUUGAAGGGACCUGCUCCUAGUACGAGAGGACCGGAGUGGACAGAUCUCUGGUGGACCGGUUAUCACGCCAGUGGUAUAGCCGGGUAGCUAAAUCUGGAAGAGAUAAACGCUGAAAGCAUCUAAGCGUGAAACUCGCCUUGAGAUGAGAUUUCCCUGGGGGUUUAACCCCCCUAAAGAGUCGUUCGAGACCAGGACGUUGAUAGGACGGAUGUGGAAGCGCAGUAAUGCGUUAAGCUGACCGUUACUAAUUGCUCGUGAGGCUUGAUCCUAUAACCUUA
Molecule: ribosomal RNA, 379 nt
Filed under: Methylotenera sp. 17-45-7
Lineage: Bacteria; Pseudomonadati; Pseudomonadota; Betaproteobacteria; Nitrosomonadales; Methylophilaceae
Description: bacterial LSU rRNA
Rfam family: Bacterial large subunit ribosomal RNA
Source: RNAcentral